UAGGGAAUCUUCGGCAAUGGACGAAAGUCUGACCGAGCAACGCCGCGUGAGUGAAGAAGGUUUUCGGAUCGUAAAACUCUGUUGGUAGAGAAGAACGUUGGUGAGAGUGGAAAGCUCAUCAAGUGACGGUAACUACCCAGAAAGGGACGGCUAACUACGUGCCAGCAGCCGCGGUAAUACGUAGGUCCCGAGCGUUGUCCGGAUUUAUUGGGCGUAAAGCGAGCGCAGGUGGUUUAUUAAGUCUGGUGUAAAAGGCAGUGGCUCAACCAUUGUAUGCAUUGGAAACUGGUAGACUUGAGUGCAGGAGAGGAGAGUGGAAUUCCAUGUGUAGCGGUGAAAUGCGUAGAUAUAUGGAGGAACACCGGUGGCGAAAGCGGCUCUCUGGCCUGUAACUGACACUGAGGCUCGAAAGCGUGGGGAGCAAACAGGAUUAGAUACCCUGGUAGUCCACGCCGUAAACGAUGAGUGCUAGAUGUAGGGAGCUAUAAGUUCUCUGUAUCGCAGCUAACGCAAUAAGCACUCCGCCUGGGGGAGUACGACCGCA
Molecule: ribosomal RNA, 544 nt
Filed under: uncultured bacterium
Lineage: Bacteria
Description: partial 16S ribosomal RNA
Rfam family: Bacterial small subunit ribosomal RNA
Source: RNAcentral